This 253-nucleotide ribosomal RNA is filed under the name uncultured bacterium. Its description in RNAcentral is "partial 16S ribosomal RNA". It matches the Rfam family "Bacterial small subunit ribosomal RNA", at positions 524 to 776 of the family's 1533-position model. The record is from RNAcentral.
UACGUAGGUGGCGAGCGUUGUCCGGAUUUACUGGGCGUAAAGGGAGCGUAGGCGGGCUUUUAAGUGAGAUGUGAAAUACUCGGGCUCAACUUGAGUGCUGCAUUUCAAACUGGAAGUCUAGAGUGCAGGAGAGGAGAAUGGAAUUCCUAGUGUAGCGGUGAAAUGCGUAGAGAUUAGGAAGAACACCAGUGGCGAAGGCGAUUCUCUGGACUGUAAUUGACGCUGAGGCUCGAAAGCGUGGGGAGCAAACAGG